RNA transcript from Bufo gargarizans (Asiatic toad), 1322 nucleotides. It is a transcript of the gene named ribonuclease inhibitor-like, with no coding region annotated. NCBI's taxonomy places the organism in Eukaryota, Metazoa, Chordata, Amphibia, Anura, Bufonidae. The record is from RefSeq and is a predicted model, not a curated record. The transcript has 3 exons.
GCAGGUGGCGGUGGCACGCUUGUCCGCCACGGCAACCGCAGGGCGGACAGGACCAGUUAGUGGUCGGGCACACGUGCACAAGGUCACAGUUCGCAACUCGGGGAAAAAGGGGGGUACUAAUGGCUCUCAAUUAAUGACCAGUAGGAAGAUGUCGCAUGAAUUCACGCCUGGAGGCUCUUCCGCGUCGCAGGAUAGCGGGGACACCCAGUCGGAACGAAGCGGAACGGACCCUCCUUACGUUCCUGGACCAUCCCGAAGUUGUCCGCCGAGCUGCGCCGAAGGGGCAUCCCCUUUCCAGCAUCUGCAAGAAAAGCCGAGUUGUAUCGUCUUCUGAUGUCAGAUGUACCACCUGUGAGCCAGGAUGAGGUAUCCAUGGGAACCAUUCAGACGUCGCUCACCCAACUACACGCCGUGAUCAACAGUAUGGCGUCAUCCAUGUCAGACCUACAGGCCAGAGUGGAAUCAGUGGAAGCCAGGUCUGCGGCCAGGGCCGGCGUCAUAACCCGGCAUACCCGGGCAAGUGCCGGGGCCCACUGUAAGUAAGGGGGCCCACUCGUUUCCGUGGCGAGGCCCCUUUAACAUUUUUGCAUACUUCUGUUCAUGCUGCGCAGCGCCCGGCCCCUCUCUCACAUGAUCUCUGAGUCCGACUCCAGGCAGAGAGUCUAUGCGCCGCGAGUACACUUUCCACAGAGUGACAGCUGUGUAACGUAUGUAAGCCUGCCUCAGCCAGCAGCAGCGCAGGACACAGGGGAGGAGCCACGGAGCUGCUGAUCAGCAGGGGCAGCCAGAAGAUUCACGAUGAGGAUUCAGGACGCAUAGCUGAGCCCAGAGGAAACCUGGCUGAAGACGGCGGAAGCUGCUGCUGGAGUUUUACAUUUAGAAUUCAGAUUGGGUUAUCAUGAUCUACGAGACACUUCCUGCAUCCAGUUGGCAUCUGUAAUAAGGAAUAACCAGUCCCUGAAGAUACUGGACCUGUCUUACAACCGUCUGUCUGGUCCUCACUUCAGUGACUUGAUGGCGGCUCUGUCCAGUCCGGCCUGCAGGAUAGAGACAUUACAUCUGACGUACAAUGAAUUAUCUGAAGAGGAGAAGGAAGCCAUAAGAAAACUGAACAAGCAGAAACCAAAUAUAGAGAUCUCUUACUGAACUGAAGAAGAAGCCGAUUCCUCUCUGUGAUGAGCAGAUAACAGGACUUUGGUGGAGAAGACUUCUUCAGAAGUCUGGUAUUAAGAGAGUCUCCUGGUGCUUUAUGGGUAAUAUCACGGAUAUAGAGAAGAUAAGGAAAUGUCUAAUAUUAUAAUAAACAUGAUACUAGAAAUGUU